This 1016-nucleotide long non-coding RNA is filed under the name Chrysolophus pictus (golden pheasant). Its description in RNAcentral is "lncRNA (ENSCPIG00010013737.1)". The record is from RNAcentral. Lineage: Eukaryota; Metazoa; Chordata; Aves; Galliformes; Phasianidae.
GUUUGUUUCACCUCAAAUCGUUGCCACUGUGCUCAGUUAUUUUGGGUCCUGUUUCCUCUUUCUGGCGGCGCGGAUAUGCAGAUCCCUCCGCCCUGCUAGUCACGGAACCGGGCUGAACCAGCCCGUAAACUGUUGACACUCUUCUCUCCUCUCUUCUCCUCUCCUUCCCUCUUUCCUUUGUUUUCCUUCCCUUCUCCCUUCCCCUCCUUUUUCCUUUUCCUUUCCCUUUCCUCUUCUUCCUUUUCCUUUUCUUCCUUUUCUUCCUUUUCCUUUUCUUCCUUUUCUUCCUUUUCUUCCUUUUCCUUUUCUUCCUUUUCCUUUUCUUCCUUUUCCUUUUCUUCCUUUUCCUUUUCUUCCUUUUCUUCCUUCUCUUCUUUUUCUUCCUUUUUCUCCUUUUCUUCCUUUUUCUCCUUUUCUUCCUUUUCCUCCUUUUCCUCCUUUUCUUCCUUUUUUUCCUUUUCCUUUUCUUCCUUUUCCUCCUUUUCUUCCUUUUCCUCCUUUUCUUCCUUUUUUUCCUUUUCCUCCUUUUCCUUUUCCUCCUUUUCCUUUUCCUCCUUUUCCUUUUCUUCCUUGUCUUCCUUUUCCUUUUCCUCCUUUUCCUUGUCUUCCUUUUCCUCCUUUUCCUUGUCUUCCUUUUCCUCCUUUUCCUUGUCUUCCUUUCCCUCCUUUUCCUUGUCUUCCUUUCCCUCCUUUUCCUUGUCUUCCUUUUCCUCCUUUUCCUUGUCUUCCUUUCCCUUUUCUUCCUUUUCCUUUCCCUUUUCCUUUCCCUUUCCUCCUCUUCCUUUUCCUCUUCCUCCUUUUCCUCUUCUUCCUUUUCCUCUUCCUCCUUUUCCUCUUCCUCCUUUUCCUCUUCCUCCUUUUCCUCUUCUUCCUUUUCCUUUUCCUUUUCCUCCUUUUUCUUAUUGGCUUUGCUUCACUUCGCUUCACUUUCUUCUACCACCUCCACCGUUGAAGACAAAACUCUCUGAUUCUCCUCCACGUCUCACUAGGGAAAGAAAAGUCUCAAGUCGUGACUG